ACUUGUUCUUUAAUUGAGGACUAGUAUGAACGGCUUCACGAAGACUACACUGUCUCCUUUUUCUAAUCAAUGAAACUAAUCUCCCCGUGAAGAAGCGGGGAUAAACCUAUAAGACGAGAAGACCCUAUGGAGCUUUAAACGAUCGAAAUAUUUGCUACCUCACUUUUCACCUCCUGAGAACUAAAUAUAUUUUCAGCAUCUUAAUUUCUAGUUUUAGGUUGGGGUGACCACGGAGAACAAACUAACCUCCACGCUGAACGAGCCUUUCUCUUAGCAAAAAGUCACAACUUUAUGCAUCAAUACAUUGACUUCCAUUGACCCAAUUUUUGACCAACGAACCAAGUUACCCUAGGGAUAACAGCGCAAUCUACUUCGAGAGUUCUUAUCGACAAGUAGGUUUACG
This 403-nucleotide ribosomal RNA is filed under the name Dendrobates tinctorius (dyeing poison frog). RNAcentral's name for it is "partial 16S ribosomal RNA". It matches the Rfam family "Bacterial large subunit ribosomal RNA", at positions 1967 to 2522 of the family's 2925-position model. The record is from RNAcentral. Lineage: Eukaryota; Metazoa; Chordata; Amphibia; Anura; Dendrobatidae.